UACGUAGGGGGCAAGCGUUGUCCGGAAUCAUUGGGCGUAAAGAGCGUGUAGGCGGCCCGAUAAGUCCGCCGUGAAAGUCCAGGGCUCAACCCUGGAAUGCCGGUGGAAACUGUCGGGCUGGAGUCCGGAAGAGGCGAGUGGAAUUCCUGGUGUAGCGGUGAAAUGCGUAGAUAUCAGGAGGAACACCAAUGGCGAAGGCAGCUCGCUGGGACGGUACUGACGCUGAGACGCGAAAGCGUGGGGAGCAAACAGG
This 253-nucleotide ribosomal RNA is filed under the name uncultured bacterium. RNAcentral's name for it is "partial 16S ribosomal RNA". It matches the Rfam family "Bacterial small subunit ribosomal RNA", at positions 524 to 776 of the family's 1533-position model. The record is from RNAcentral.